UACGUAUGGAGCAAGCGUUAUCCGGAUUUAUUGGGUUUAAAGGGUGCGUAGGUGGUUUCUUAAGUCAGUGGCGAAAGUUUGUCGCUCAACGAUAAAAUUGCCAUUGAAACUGGGGAACUUGAGUAUAUUUGAGGUAGGCGGAAUGCGUAGUGUAGCGGUGAAAUGCAUAGAUAUUACGCAGAACUCCAAUUGCGAAGGCAGCUUACUAAACCAUAACUGACGCUGAGGCUCGAAAGCGUGGGGAGCAAAC
Molecule: ribosomal RNA, 250 nt
Filed under: uncultured bacterium
Lineage: Bacteria
Description: partial 16S ribosomal RNA
Rfam family: Bacterial small subunit ribosomal RNA
Source: RNAcentral